RNAcentral lists this ribosomal RNA (408 nucleotides) under uncultured bacterium. RNAcentral's name for it is "bacterial SSU rRNA". It matches the Rfam family "Bacterial small subunit ribosomal RNA", at positions 505 to 916 of the family's 1533-position model. The record is from RNAcentral.
GUGCAGCCGCCGCGGUAAUACGGAGGGUGCAAGCGUUAUCCGGAUUCAUUGGGUUUAAAGGGUGCGCAGGCGGAUUAUUAAGUUAGUGGUGAAAUCCCGGGGCUCAACCUCGGAACUGCCAUUAAUACUGGUAAUCUGGAAUACGGUUGAAGUGGGCGGAAUGUAGCAUGUAGCGGUGAAAUGCAUAGAGAUGCUACAGAGCACCGAUCGCGAAGGCAGCUCACUAAGCCGAUAUUGACGCUCAGGCACGAAAGCGUGGGGAGCGAACAGGAUUAGAUACCCUGGUAGUCCACGCCGUAAACGAUGAUAACUCGUUGUUGGCGACACACAGUCAGCGACUAAGCGAAAGCGAUAAGUUAUCCACCUGGGGAGUACGAUCGCAAGGUUGAAACUUAAAUGAAUUGACGG